Atopostipes suicloacalis DSM 15692 is the source of this 69-nucleotide non-coding RNA. The record is from Rfam. Lineage: Bacteria; Bacillati; Bacillota; Bacilli; Lactobacillales; Carnobacteriaceae.
AGAGCGUUAUGAUGAUGGUUAAAUCCCAAGUGUCUAGCUCUAGUUUCUCCUGGGCUGAGUCCCAGGAGA